UGGCGAGCGUUGUCCGGAUUUACUGGGCGUAAAGCGCGCGUAGGCGGCUUCUUAAGUGGGAUGUGAAAUCCUCGGGCUUAACCUGAGUGCUGCAUUCCAAACUGGGAAUCUAGAGUGCGGGAGGGGAGAGUGGAAUUCCUAGUGUAGCGGUGAAAUGCGUAGAGAUUAGGAAGAACACCAGUGGCGAAGGCGACUCUCUGGACUGUAACUGACGCUGAGGCUCGAAAGCGUGGGGAGCA
This 239-nucleotide ribosomal RNA is filed under the name uncultured bacterium. RNAcentral's name for it is "partial 16S ribosomal RNA". It matches the Rfam family "Bacterial small subunit ribosomal RNA", at positions 532 to 770 of the family's 1533-position model. The record is from RNAcentral.